This 357-nucleotide ribosomal RNA is filed under the name Streptococcus agalactiae. RNAcentral's name for it is "bacterial SSU rRNA". It matches the Rfam family "Bacterial small subunit ribosomal RNA", at positions 1 to 347 of the family's 1533-position model. The record is from RNAcentral. Lineage: Bacteria; Bacillati; Bacillota; Bacilli; Lactobacillales; Streptococcaceae.
UUUUAAUGAGAGUUUGAUCCUGGCUCAGGACGAACGCUGGCGGCGUGCCUAAUACAUGCAAGUAGAACGCUGAUGUUUGGUGUUUACACUAGACUGAUGAGUUGCGAACGGGUGAGUAACGCGUAGGUAACCUGCCUCAUAGCGGGGGAUAACUAUUGGAAACGAUAGCUAAUACCGCAUAAGAGUGAUUAACACAUGUUAGUUAUUUAAAAGGAGCAAUUGCUUCACUGUGAGAUGGACCUGCGUUGUAUUAGCUAGUUGGUGAGGUAAAGGCUCACCAAGGCGACGAUACAUAGCCGACCUGAGAGGGUGAUCGGCCACACUGGGACUGAGACACGGCCCAGACUCCUACGGGAG